Molecule: non-coding RNA, 121 nt
Organism: Triticum urartu
Lineage: Eukaryota; Viridiplantae; Streptophyta; Magnoliopsida; Poales; Poaceae
Source: Rfam
UGAUGAUGAUGAUAAAUUUAAGGCUUGUUUCUCAAAACAUUUGCAGAUGCCUCUUAAGAGCUUUCACCCAGCCAGGCUUGAGAGGUAAUGCUACUAAUUCUUUCCUUGAAUGUUUGAGCCU